AGAGUUUGAUCCUGGCUCAGAACGAACGCUGGCGGCAUGCCUUAUACAUGCAAGUCGAACGAGAAAGUCACUUCGGUGGCGAGUACAGUGGCGCACGGGUGAGUAACGCGUAGAUGAUCUACCCUUCAGUCUGGGACAACUCUUGGAAACGGGAGCUAAUACCGGAUAAAACCUUCGGGUUGAAAGAUUUAUCGCUGGGGGAUGAGUCUGCGUACCAUUAGCUUGUUGGUGGGGUAACGGCCUACCAAGGCGACGAUGGUUAGCGGGUCUGAGAGGACGAUCCGCCACACUGGAACUGAGACACGGUCCAGACUCCUACGGGAGGCAGCAGUAGGGAAUAUUGCGCAAUGGGGGCAACCCUGACGCAGCAAUGCCGCGUGAGUGAAGAAGGCCUUCGGGUCGUAAAGCUCUUUUAUGGGGGAAGAUGAUGACGGUACCCCAUGAAUAAGCACCGGCUAACUACGUGCCAGCAGCCGCGGUAAUACGUAGGGUGCGAGCGUUGUUCGGAAUUACUGGGCGUAAAGGGCGUGCAGGCGGAUUGGCAAGCCGGAGGUGAAAGCCCGGGGCUCAACCCCGGAGGGUCUUUCGGAACUGCCAGUCUUGAGAGGGUCAGGGGCCAGCGGAAUUCCUGGUGUAGAGGUGAAAUUCGUAGAGAUCAGGAGGAACACCGGCGGCGAAAGCGGCUGGCUGGGGCCACUCUGACGCUGAGGCGCGAAAGCGUGGGGAGCAAACAGGAUUAGAUACCCUGGUAGUCCACGCCGUAAACGAUGGGCACUAAGCGUCCGACGGGUUCGACCCUGUUGGGUGCUGCAGUUAACGCGUUAAGUGCCCCGCCUGGGGAGUACGGUCGCAAGACUAAAACUCAAAGGAAUUGACGG
This 878-nucleotide ribosomal RNA is filed under the name marine metagenome. RNAcentral describes it as "bacterial SSU rRNA". It matches the Rfam family "Bacterial small subunit ribosomal RNA", at positions 8 to 916 of the family's 1533-position model. The record is from RNAcentral.